RNAcentral lists this ribosomal RNA (774 nucleotides) under uncultured Neocallimastigales. Its description in RNAcentral is "partial large subunit ribosomal RNA". It matches the Rfam family "Eukaryotic large subunit ribosomal RNA", at positions 23 to 616 of the family's 3401-position model. Lineage: Eukaryota; Fungi; Neocallimastigomycota; Neocallimastigomycetes; Neocallimastigales. The record is from RNAcentral.
AGAGAGAGACAUGCGCGCAUAUCAAUAAGCGGAGGAAAAGAAACUAACAAGGAUUCCCCUAGUAACGGCGAGUGAAGCGGGAAGAGCUCAAAUUUGAAAUCUUAAAGGGUUUCCCUUUACGAAUUGUAGUUUAAGGAAGUGUUUUCUGUUGAGGUUUUGGUAAAAGUUCUUUGGAAUAGGACAUCAUAGAGGGUGAGAAUCCCGUAUUUGACCUUUACUUUCAACUUUGUGAUACACUUUCAAAGAGUCGGAUUGUUUGGGAAUGCAGUCCAAAAUGGGUGGUAAAUUUCAUCUAAAGCUAAAUAUUGGCGAGAGACCGAUAGCGAACAAGUACCGUGAGGGAAAGAUGAAAAGAACUUUGAAAAGAGAGUUAAACAGUACGUGAAAUUGUCAAAAGGGAAGCGUUUGACACCAGUGUUGUUUUUCUGAAAAUCAAUUAAAGAACUGUUUAUGCUAAGUUGUUUAGACUUUAUCAGCUAACUGUUUAGUUUUGAGCUUUUCUUUAAUGCACUUUUCAGUUAACAAGUCAACAUCAAUUUCUUUUGCUGUAAAAAAGCUUGAGGAAGGUGGCUUGAGAUUCGUCUUAAGUGUUUAUAGCCUCUUGCCUAUGCAGUCGGAGAGAUUGAGGUCUGCAGCGUAGAUCCUUCGGGGCUAAAUGCAUUUGAGCUAAGCUAUAGCAUUUUAUAGACAACUUGUUGACUAUGAUUUGUCUUGUAGCUUACUCGCUUAUGUUAUUUUACCUACGCUUAGGAUGUUGAGCGCAUGUCUCUCUCU